UGGGGAAUUUUGGACAAUGGGGGAAACCCUGAUCCAGCCAUCCCGCGUGUGCGAUGAAGGCCUUCGGGUUGUAAAGCACUUUUGGCAGGAAAGAAACGUCGCGGGUUAAUACCCCGCGAAACUGACGGUACCUGCAGAAUAAGCACCGGCUAACUACGUGCCAGCAGCCGCGGUAAUACGUAGGGUGCAAGCGUUAAUCGGAAUUACUGGGCGUAAAGCGUGCGCAGGCGGUUCGGAAAGAAAGAUGUGAAAUCCCAGAGCUUAACUUUGGAACUGCAUCUUUAACUACCGGGCUAGAGUGUGUCAGAGGGAGGUGGAAUUCCGCGUGUAGCAGUGAAAUGCGUAGAUAUGCGGAGGAACACCGAUGGCGAAGGCAGCCUCCUGGGAUAACACUGACGCUCAUGCACGAAAGCGUGGGGAGCAAACAGGAUUAGAUACCCUGGUAGUCCACGCCCUAAACGAUGUCAACUAGCUGUUGGGGCCUUCGGGCCUUGGUAGCGCAGCUAACGCGUGAAGUUGACCGCCUGGGGAGUACGGUCGCAAGAUUAAAACUUAAAUGAAUUGACGGGGUCAUAGCUGUUUCCUG
Molecule: ribosomal RNA, 586 nt
Filed under: uncultured bacterium
Lineage: Bacteria
Description: partial 16S ribosomal RNA
Rfam family: Bacterial small subunit ribosomal RNA
Source: RNAcentral